AAGUUUAUCAGAUGUUCUCUUGAGGAUCUGAUAUCUGGGCCCUUCAUCUCCUGAGACAGAACUGGCCUCAACUUUUUAAAGUUCACUGGAAUGGCAACACAGCAUUGUCCACUGAAAUAAAUAUACACAGAGGCAAGCCAAUGUCUUACAUAAACAUUAAACUUAAAAACCUAGACUAGCAUGAUUGAUGACUGACCCAUAUAGAUCCUUUUUUUUUUUUUUUUUUUCUGGCAGGAGAAUAGGUCUCAAGUACAUUUAGGACUUCGAGUCUCAGGAGUAAAUGUUUUUUGAUAAUCUUAUUGAUGUGUUUCAGGAUUUAUAGACAGUUCCUGGACCCACAGGGGAAGCUGGUAAAUGCACAAAUUCUUGCAUCAAUAAAGAAGAUGUUUAUAUGCAGAGCACAAAUGCAGAAAGGACAAGGAGCUUUCAACCAUCAAAAGGACACAAAAGGACCAUAAAAGUAUAAAAGUGGUCCAUAUGGCUUGUGCUUCAACUCUUUUUGAAUAUAAAUUAAAAGUCAUACAGAUUUGGAACAACAUGAGGGUAAAUAAAUAAUAACAGGAUGUCACAAUAUUCCUUUUUGUACUGUGUAAUAUCUUACACCAGAGUGAAUAUAGAUACUGUUCAAGUUUCACAUUCGUUAUUCAAGAUUUGUAUAGA
Long non-coding RNA from Cyprinus carpio carpio, 660 nucleotides. Lineage: Eukaryota; Metazoa; Chordata; Actinopteri; Cypriniformes; Cyprinidae. The record is from Ensembl.